This 484-nucleotide ribosomal RNA is filed under the name uncultured bacterium. RNAcentral describes it as "partial 16S ribosomal RNA". It matches the Rfam family "Bacterial small subunit ribosomal RNA", at positions 30 to 507 of the family's 1533-position model. The record is from RNAcentral.
AUUGAACGCUGGCGGCAGGCCUAACACAUGCAAGUCGAGCGGAUGAAGGGAGCUUGCUCCUGGAUUCAGCGGCGGACGGGUGAGUAAUGCCUAGGAAUCUGCCUGGUAGUGGGGGAUAACGUCCGGAAACGGGCGCUAAUACCGCAUACGUCCUGAGGGAGAAAGUGGGGGAUCUUCGGACCUCACGCUAUCAGAUGAGCCUAGGUCGGAUUAGCCAGUUGGUGGGGUAAAGGCCUACCAAGGCGACGAUCCGUAACUGGUCUGAGAGGAUGAUCGGUCACACUGGAACUGAGACACGGUCCAGACUCCUACGGGAGGCAGCAGUGGGGAAUAUUGGACAAUGGGCGAAAGCCUGAUCCAGCCAUGCCGCGUGUGUGAAGAAGGUCUUCGGAUUGUAAAGCACUUUAAGUUGGGAGGAAGGGCAGUAAGUUAAUACCUUGCUGUUUUGACGUUACCAACAGAAUAAGCACCGGCUAACUUCGUG